This 253-nucleotide ribosomal RNA is filed under the name uncultured bacterium. RNAcentral describes it as "partial 16S ribosomal RNA". It matches the Rfam family "Bacterial small subunit ribosomal RNA", at positions 524 to 776 of the family's 1533-position model. The record is from RNAcentral.
UACGAGGGGGGCAAGCGUUGUUCGGAAUUAUUGGGCGUAAAGGGCGCGUAGGCGGUGCGGUAAGUCUGAUGUGAAAUCUCCGGGCUCAACUCGGAGUCUGCAUCAGAAACUGCCGUGCUUGAGUGUGGGAGAGGUGAGUGGAAUUCCUGGUGUAGCGGUGAAAUGCGUAGAUAUCAGGAGGAACACCUGUGGCGAAAGCGGCUCACUGGACCAUAACUGACGCUGAUGCACGAAAGCUAGGGGAGCAAACAGG